Vidua chalybeata is the source of this 299-nucleotide long non-coding RNA. RefSeq lists it as uncharacterized. NCBI's taxonomy places the organism in Eukaryota, Metazoa, Chordata, Aves, Passeriformes, Viduidae. The transcript is spliced from 2 exons. The record is from RefSeq and is a predicted model, not a curated record.
GGGACAUGGCUCAUGAGCAGAGGCUCCAGGCCUCUCCCCAUCAGAGAGGGAGCAGAGAAAGGAAAAGCUACAAAGCAACACAAGGGGUGGCAGGGAAGAAAGAUGUUACAGGGCUACAUGCAAUGACUGCCAUGGGGACAAGCACAUAGUCAGGGCUCAUAAGCAACCCUUACGAGUUACUGUACGGGACCCGAUCAGGGUGCAGAUGGGACUACAAAGCAGCCCUUGUUGUCAGUAAUGUGACUCACAUGUCAGGCUCUUAUUUGCUGUCAGUGGCUUUAUUAAAGUCUACAGUUUCA